RNAcentral lists this ribosomal RNA (372 nucleotides) under uncultured bacterium. RNAcentral describes it as "bacterial SSU rRNA". It matches the Rfam family "Bacterial small subunit ribosomal RNA", at positions 527 to 896 of the family's 1533-position model. The record is from RNAcentral.
AGAGGUCUCGAGCGUUAGUCGGAGUCACUGGGCUUAAAGCGUACGUAGGCGGAUAUGCAGGCGUCGUGUGAAAUCCCUUGGCUCAACCAAGGAACUGCACGGCGAACCGCAUGUCUUGAGAUCGGUAGGGGCGGUCGGAACGAUAGGUGGAGUGGUGAAAUGCGUUGAUAUCUAUCGGAACGCCGAAGGUGAAAGCAGGCCGCUGGGCCGAUUCUGACGCUGAGGUACGAAAGCGUGGGGAGCGAACGGGAUUAGAUACCCCGGUAGUCCACGCCGUAAACGAUGUGCACUAGAUCGAGGAGGUUCUGACACCAUUCUCGGUCGAAGUCAAAACGCUGAGUGCACCGCCUGGGGAGUACGGUCGCAAGGCUA